RNAcentral lists this small RNA (116 nucleotides) under Enterobacter hormaechei. Its description in RNAcentral is "partial RtT sRNA". It matches the Rfam family "RtT RNA", at positions 16 to 130 of the family's 130-position model. From Rfam's summary of the family: This family represents a bacterial cis-regulatory element known as RtT RNA. The exact function of RtT is unknown although it is thought that it may be involved in changing the cellular response in relation to amino acid starvation. Lineage: Bacteria; Pseudomonadati; Pseudomonadota; Gammaproteobacteria; Enterobacterales; Enterobacteriaceae. The record is from RNAcentral.
GGAAGGAUAAGAAGCUUCGACCAGGGUUCGAUUCGAGCGUAGCGAGAAAGCGUUGCCGCAGGCAACGACCCGAAGGGCGAAGCGCGAAGCGCUGAGUAAUCCUUCCCCCACCACCA